RNAcentral lists this ribosomal RNA (1656 nucleotides) under Triticum aestivum (bread wheat). RNAcentral's name for it is "partial small subunit ribosomal RNA". The record is from RNAcentral. Lineage: Eukaryota; Viridiplantae; Streptophyta; Magnoliopsida; Poales; Poaceae.
AUGGCCGCCGCCGACCGUCUCUCCGCCCUGGCCGACGAUCUCCUGCAGCACAUCCUGUCCUUCGCGCCGGCCAAGGAGGCCGCGGCCAGCGCCGCGCUCUCGCGCCGGUGGCGCCCGCUGUGGCGCCGCACCAGCGCCCUCAACCUCGACAGCAGGGCCUACCGCCACUCCGACGACUUCUUCCGCCACGGGGAGGCCGCCCUCGGCAGCCGCCUUCGGACGCCGCCCAGGAGGCUCACGCUCUUCCUGGUGGAACGCGCCUACCUCGUCGGCGACACCUGGGGUUACUUGAUGGACGAGGACGCGGAGCCGGCGUACGACGCCAGGAUCCCCGGCCUCCUUGCUGACCCCGCCGCGGCCGCGCUCGAGGAGCUCCGCAUCGCCGCCGAGCAUUCCUACCCCUUCAUGUACGUCCCGCCACUGUCCUCCCUGCCGUGCGCCGCCACCACACUCCGGGUGCUGGAGCUCCACCACUGCGACCUCCAGCCGCCGGCGCCGUCUACGGAGCCGUCCACGUGCCUCGCUUUCCCGUGCCUCACGGAUCUGUCGCUGCGCGGCUGCACUUACCUGCAGGGGUAUCUCCAGGCCGUGGUCGACGCCGCGCCGGCGCUAACCAGGCUUGCCCUGGUGGACGUCACUAAUAAGCCGCCAAAGCUGGCCGGUUCCGGCAAGAGGGAUCGCUACGAGGAAUCCAAGUCUUUCAACCUGCCCCUUCGCCUCCGCUCCCCGACGGUCACCACCUUGGUGCUCGAGACCAAUGACUCCCGGGAGGAUGAGCUCGAGGAGUCCCGCAACAUCGGCAUACAACUCGACAUGCCCAGCCUGCGCUCCUUCCGCUACAAGGGGUUCCCCGUCAAGCUCUGGCUCGCACCGCCGAUGCCGGGGCUGGCACGAGUCAACCUCGACACCUGUCGCCGCGAGAAGUGCGAGCCCGUGGCUGCCAUGCUCGCGAGCUUCUCCAGCACUAGGGUCCUCAAGCUGCACCUCGUCGCCAUCGAGGAGAUCAUCUCCGACCCCGAUGAGGACUCUAGCAACCAAAACCCCGGCGAGGCCACCAUCCUGCCGACCUUCCCGAACCUCAAGCUCCUCGAGAUACACGGGCUCUUCAAGUAUCGGAACAACAACACGGCGCUGGCACUGGCCACGCUUCUCCGCGCCUGCCCGGCGUUGUCGGAGCUCCGACUCAGGCUAAACAUGGCGUCAAACUACCACUACAAUCGCAAGACCGAGGAACGAGAAGCCGGAGGCCCCUUCGCCCUGUCGGUGGAAAGGUUCAAGAGGCUCGGGUCAAUGUGCGCCGAACACCGCGACGACGUGGAGCUCAGCGCGGUCUCGGACCUCCCGGACCCUUUCACCUACAGCUGCACGUUUGGCUGCCUGAGGACGAGCCUGCGGAAGGUGACGCUGCAGUUUAAGUACUCCAAGGAGGUCAACUGUUUCCAGGUGCAGUUCGCCAAGUUCCUGGUGGAGAACGCCAUGGUGCUUGAGGAGAUGCACGUCGAGGAUGGAGACCAGUUUUGGCCGGACCACCUUUGGGACAAGCUAGCGAGAUGGAGGGCAGACGCGUUCCGGAGGAAGAACCUGCCGGACACGGCCGCUGGCUUUCGAGUCUACCAGCUGGCUAAUCCUGUGGAAGAUCCUGAUGUACAUUAUUGA